This 600-nucleotide ribosomal RNA is filed under the name uncultured Gammaproteobacteria bacterium. RNAcentral describes it as "bacterial SSU rRNA". It matches the Rfam family "Bacterial small subunit ribosomal RNA", at positions 54 to 645 of the family's 1533-position model. The record is from RNAcentral. Lineage: Bacteria; Pseudomonadati; Pseudomonadota; Gammaproteobacteria.
CAUGCAAGUCGAGCGGAGACGAGAAUAGCUUGCUAUUCGGCGUCGAGCGGCGGACGGGUGAGUAAUGCUUGGGAAUGUGCCUUAUGGUGGGGGACAACAGUUGGAAACGACUGCUAAUACCGCAUAAUGUCUUCGGACCAAAGCGGGGGACCUUCGGGCCUCGUGCCAUAAGAUCAGCCCAAGUGGGAUUAGCUAGUUGGUGAGGUAAAGGCUCACCAAGGCGACGAUCUCUAGCUGGUUUGAGAGGAUGAUCAGCCACACUGGAACUGAGACACGGUCCAGACUCCUACGGGAGGCAGCAGUGGGGAAUAUUGCACAAUGGGCGCAAGCCUGAUGCAGCCAUGCCGCGUGUGUGAAGAAGGCCUUAGGGUUGUAAAGCACUUUCAGUAGGGAGGAAAGGGUGUGUUUUAAUAGAGCACAUCUGUGACGUUACCUACAGAAGAAGCACCGGCUAACUCCGUGCCAGCAGCCGCGGUAAUACGGAGGGUGCGAGCGUUAAUCGGAAUUACUGGGCGUAAAGCGUACGCAGGCGGUUGAUUAAGCGAGAUGUGAAAGCCCCGGGCUCAACCUGGGAACUGCAUUUGGAACUGGUCGACUAGA